UUGAUUAUAGACAGAUAUCAUAUUCAUAGAUUGUAAAAGAAAUAUUUAAUGCUACAGGUGAAGCAAGCUAUGGACUAGACACAGUAUUCAGCUUUCUCUGCUGAAGUAAUGUGACCAAAUCAAGUGUCACCUGGAAAGAGGAAUGUCAAGGGUGAUUAACAUUAACUCCAAGAUAGCCAUUGGAAACUUCAAGCAAAAUCUGCUACAGCAAACUCAAACAUAAAGUGGCAUAACAAGGAAUAUUUAUGUCUGGACUGAGAAUCUAAUGGAAGAUCCCUGUAUCACUAGUUAGAUCCCACGGAAAUAUAGGAUCCUUUACUAAUCAAGUGUCAUCUGCAGUGUUACAAAAG
Long non-coding RNA from Saccostrea cuccullata (small rock oyster), 350 nucleotides. RefSeq lists it as uncharacterized. The transcript has 3 exons. The record is from RefSeq and is a predicted model, not a curated record. NCBI's taxonomy places the organism in Eukaryota, Metazoa, Mollusca, Bivalvia, Ostreida, Ostreidae.